Molecule: small nuclear RNA, 107 nt
Organism: Prolemur simus (greater bamboo lemur)
Lineage: Eukaryota; Metazoa; Chordata; Mammalia; Primates; Lemuridae
Source: Ensembl
GUGAUCGCUUCGAUAGUACAUAUACCAAAACUGCAAUGAUACAAAGAAGAUUAGCAUGGCUCUGAUGCAAGGAUGUCAUGAAAAUUUGCGAAGUGUUCCAUAUAAAA